UUAAGCUGCGGAAUAACAGAGAGAAAUUUCUGCUAAUGCCGUAUGUGCCCGGAAGGGGAAAGAUUUAUCGGCUUAAGAUGAGCCCGCGUUGGAUUAGCUGGUUGGUGGGGUAAAGGCCUACCAAGGCGACGAUCCAUAGCUGGUCUGAGAGGAUGAUCAGCCACACUGGGACUGAGACACGGCCCAGACUCCUACGGGAGGCAGCAGUGGGGAAUAUUGGACAAUGGGCGCAAGCCUGAUCCAGCCAUGCCGCGUGAGUGAUGAAGGCCUUAGGGUUGUAAAGCUCUUUCA
RNAcentral lists this ribosomal RNA (291 nucleotides) under uncultured Hyphomicrobiales bacterium. RNAcentral describes it as "uncultured Rhizobiales bacterium partial 16S ribosomal RNA". It matches the Rfam family "Bacterial small subunit ribosomal RNA", at positions 131 to 438 of the family's 1533-position model. The record is from RNAcentral. Lineage: Bacteria; Pseudomonadati; Pseudomonadota; Alphaproteobacteria; Hyphomicrobiales.